GAAAUGCGAUAGGUAAUGUGAAUUGCAGAAUUCAGUGAAUCAUCGAAUCUUUGAACGCACCUUGCGCUCCUUGGUAUUCCUUGGAGCAUGCCUGUUUGAGUAUCAUGAAAUCUUCAAAGUAAAUCUUUUGUUAACUCAAUUGGUUUCUACUUUGGUAUUGGAGGUCUUUGCAGCUUCACACCUGCUCCUCUUUGUUCAUUAGCUGGAUCUCAGUGUUAUGCUUGGUUCCACUCGGCGUGAUAAGUUAUCUAUCGCUGAGGACACUGUAAAAGGUGGCCAAGGUAAAUGCAGAUGAACCGCUUCUAAUAGUCCAUUGACUUGGACAAUACUUUUAUGAUCUGAUCUCAAAUCAGGUAGGACUACCCGCUGAACUUAAGCA
RNAcentral lists this unclassified non-coding RNA (379 nucleotides) under plant metagenome. RNAcentral describes it as "partial contains 5.8S ribosomal RNA, internal transcribed spacer 2, and large subunit ribosomal RNA". The stretch from base 1 to 105 matches the Rfam family "5.8S ribosomal RNA", at positions 50 to 154 of the family's 154-position model. The record is from RNAcentral.